Molecule: long non-coding RNA, 954 nt
Organism: Hippopotamus amphibius kiboko
Lineage: Eukaryota; Metazoa; Chordata; Mammalia; Artiodactyla; Hippopotamidae
Exons: 3
Source: RefSeq, a predicted model, not a curated record
UAACCUCCGGCCGCUCACUUAGUGAGUGUCUCAGUUACGGGAGAGAACCGGCAAGACGGGUUGGCAGGUCGGCACAGAAGUCACCGGAAUCAAGCAGGCCAUUUGUGCUGGUUGAAUCACUGCAACACAAAUGGGACGUGGCGGCUCAGGUCCUGCUCGCAGCUCCAGGACCACAUCCCUUCCUGGGGGAGACCUCAGGAAGGAAGGAACAGACACAGAGAGAUCAUCAUAUGCCAACCCACCCAUUUUACAGAUGAGGAAGUGGAGGCCCCUUGCUCACAAGGACACACAGAUUGCUGUUAGCUGGGUGGUGGCUCUUUUGUCCACACUUUUUCCCCAAAUCACUAAUCCAGGUUGUCUUCCCAGAGUGAACCCAGUCACCAUUCCCUCCCAUCAUGUCAGGUAAAGUUGCCCAGAACAUGCCAGUAAGACAGGCUCAUCUCCUUUUGUGACAUCUGGGGACCUGAUCCGUUCCAGUUUUGCCAGUAGCAGGGAAAUGGGCUCUAGACAGAAGCUGAAGUCACGUCUCUCCCCAAAGCCUGUUGCCAUCCCCAGGUCAUUCCCCAGCUCAGGCCCAGGAAGCCUUUGAGAUUUCUCUCUCCCUUCUUGCAGAAGCUAUUACAGGGAAAGGCUUUGACCUCAGCGCCUCACCUGUUGGGCCUCUUGCCUCUGUGAGCUGGGAAAGGACCCACCUCCAGAGGCUCCUGAAGCGCUUUUCAGAAGCUGCAGACUGGAGGUCGUGAAAGGGUGGACCCCCUCUCAGCCAGGUGGGGUCCUUGCCAGAAACUGAAUCAGCCGGAACCUCGAUCUCAGACCUGCAGUCUCCAGAACUGUGAGAAGAUACAUUUCUGUUGUUCCAGCCGCCCAGGCUGGGGUAUUUUGUCACGUGGCCUGAGCGGAGACAGCUUCCAUCUCACCUGGACUAAAUCCGGAGGCUGUUCCGUGGCCGCCUCU